Molecule: long non-coding RNA, 1271 nt
Filed under: Helianthus annuus (common sunflower)
Lineage: Eukaryota; Viridiplantae; Streptophyta; Magnoliopsida; Asterales; Asteraceae
Description: hypothetical non coding rna
Source: RNAcentral
CCAUAAUAAGAGUGCUUCUCCUUUUUCUUCUUGAAAGCUGACUUCAAAACCAGCAAGAAAGCGAUCGCCAAAAACAACCCCGCUAAUCCACCGAUGAUAAUAGCAACCGUCUUCUGUGUAUUGCGGUGCCCAUCCCCACCACCCGUCUGCGUUUCACCCGUUUGUAUCCCACCACCACCACCACCACCGGUUCCUAUCAACAAAGCAAACCCACAUCAUCAUGUUGUUACUUUUGCUUAAAGUUCCAAGAAUAAAACAAAACGUCCACCCUGAAUCCCACUUUUGAUUCUUUACGCAUCAGGUGAUUAUUGAUGCUUUUCACUCCAUCUUCGAAACAUGGAAUGAUGGAAAUGACAUAACAUUAAACCGAUCGAUGGAUCAACUUACCUGAUCCGGGUACUCCAUUCGGGUAAUACGUAUAACUAACAUAACACUGCUGCAAAUAAAUCUGACCCGAAAUCGAACUCGCGCACGCACUCCGCGCAUUCUCCACCGCGGAUCUCACACAACUCACACAAUCCGCACUCCCCAAAUCACCUUCACACUGCCCCAACACAUAAACCGAUUCAAACUCACCCGCAUAAUACCCUUUUCCACUCGCAACCCCAUUCACAAUCUGCCCCAACGCAGACUCUAUCCUGUCAUCAAACCCGGACCCGCUCGCCCGACCCGACCCGCACUGUUUAAACAAAAGAUCCGUCGGUGACGCCGGCGGGAACCCGACAACCUCGUAUCUUAAAUAACAGCCGUCAAGUUGGACUCUGGCGGCGAUGGUAUCUCCGCCGCAAACUUUUUGGAUGGUUUCUGGGAUUUUUUUGACGCAGGUGUUGCAGUCGGAGUUGGGUAAAUCUCCUCUGCACUGGUAAAGACCGGUGACGGAGGUGGCUAACUGGUUGUUGCCGGUGGUGGUGUUGAAGAAAUUGGUGGAGGAUGAUUGGGAGAUGAGGGUUUGGUAUAAGGAUUGGAGGUUUUGUGAUGAGAUUCCAGAUGGGUCUUGGAAUUUUUGAUUUGCACAGCCUUUGUAGAUGAAUUUAGUGAGGUCUACUACUGAUGAUGAGGAGGGUGUUGAAGAGUAGAUGGAGAGAAUGAGGAGGAAGAUGUGUGAUUUUGAUGAUGGACACAUGGUUGGUUGUUAAUUUUGAGAAUUUGGGGAAGUGGUGGAGUGGUAUGAUUUGGGGGUUGUUUUUAAUGGAUUUGUUGGUGUGGUGAGUCAUAGAUGUAAUUGAUUUUGUGUUCAUAUUCAAAUCUUGUUUUUAAUUGAUUUUGUGUUC